RNAcentral lists this ribosomal RNA (484 nucleotides) under uncultured bacterium. Its description in RNAcentral is "partial 16S ribosomal RNA". It matches the Rfam family "Bacterial small subunit ribosomal RNA", at positions 30 to 507 of the family's 1533-position model. The record is from RNAcentral.
AUUGUACGCUGGCGGCAGGCCUAACACAUGCAAGUCGAGCGGAUGAAGGGAGCUUGCUCCUGGAUUCAGCGGCGGACGGGUGAGUAAUGCCUAGGAAUCUGCCUGGUAGUGGGGGAUAACGUCCGGAAACGGGCGCUAAUACCGCAUACGUCCUGAGGGAGAAAGUGGGGGAUCUUCGGACCUCACGCUAUCAGAUGAGCCUAGGUCGGUUUAGCUAGUUGGUGGGGUAAAGGCCUACCAAGGCGACGAUCCGUAACUGGUCUGAGAGGAUGAUCAGUCACACUGGAACUGAGACACGGUCCAGACUCCUACGGGAGGCAGCAGUGGGGAAUAUUGGACAAUGGGCGAAAGCCUGAUCCAGCCAUGCCGCGUGUGUGAAGAAGGUCUUCGGAUUGUAAAGCACUUUAAGUUGGGAGGAAGGGCAGUAAGUUAAUACCUUGCUGUUUUGACGUUACCAACAGAAUAAGCACCGGCUAACUUCGUG